UACGUAGGCAGCAAGCGUUGUUCGGAGUUACUGGGCGUAAAGGGUGUGUAGGCGGUUGCUUAAGUUUGGUGUGAAAUCUCCCGGCUCAACUGGGAGGGUGCGCCGAAUACUGAGUGACUCGAGUGCGGGAGAGGAAAGUGGAAUUCCUGGUGUAGCGGUGAAAUGCGCAGAUAUCGGGAAGAACACCCGUGGCGAAGGCGGCACUCUGGGACGGUACUGACGCUGAGACGCGAAAGCGUGGGGAGCGAACAGG
RNAcentral lists this ribosomal RNA (253 nucleotides) under uncultured bacterium. Its description in RNAcentral is "partial 16S ribosomal RNA". It matches the Rfam family "Bacterial small subunit ribosomal RNA", at positions 524 to 776 of the family's 1533-position model. The record is from RNAcentral.